Molecule: ribosomal RNA, 342 nt
Filed under: uncultured archaeon
Lineage: Archaea
Description: partial 16S ribosomal RNA
Rfam family: Archaeal small subunit ribosomal RNA
Source: RNAcentral
CGGGAAACUGGGGAUAAUACCGGAUAUAUGGAGAUGCCUGGAAUGGUACUCCACUUAAAGCUCCGGCGCCUAAGGAUGGAUCUGCGGCAGAUUAGGUCGUUGGUGGGGUAAUGGCCCACCAAGCCUAUAAUCUGUACGGGUUGUGAGAGCAAGAGCCCGGAGAUGGAACCUGAGACAAGGUUCCAGGGCCUAACGGGCGCAGCAGGGCGCGAACCCCCGGAAAGGCGAGCAAUCGCGACGGGGGGACCCCAAGUGCCACUCUUAACGGGGUGGCUUUGCUUAAGUGUAAAAAGCUUUUGGAAUAAGGGCUGGGCAAGACCGGUGCCAGCCGCCGCGGUAAUA